GCAAACUUGGUCAUUUAGAGGAAGUACAAGUCGUAACAAGGUUUCCGUAGGUGAACCUGCGGAAGGAUCAUUAACAAAUCGUGUGUUUGUGUGCGCUUUUUGUGCAUGCAAAUAUAUAAGUGCGCCAGCGUUUGCUGGAAUGCAAAAUAUUCAUGAUUAGUGUGAUAAAUAUUGGUGAUAUCAAAAAUACAACAUACUUUUAACAAUGGAUCUCUUGGCUCUUUAGAGGAAGUACAAGUCGUAACAAGGUUUCCGUAGGUGAACCUGCGGAAGGAUCAUUAACAAAUCGUGUGUUUGUGUGCGCUUUUUGUGCAUGCAAAUAUAUAAGUGCGCCAGCGUUUGCUGGAAUGCAAAAUAUUCAUGAUUAGUGUGAUAAAUAUUGGUGAUAUCAAAAAUACAACAUACUUUUAACAAUGGAUCUCUUGGCUCUUGCAUCGAUGAAGAACGCAGC
RNAcentral lists this unclassified non-coding RNA (451 nucleotides) under uncultured fungus. Its description in RNAcentral is "partial contains small subunit ribosomal RNA, internal transcribed spacer 1, and 5.8S ribosomal RNA". The stretch from base 1 to 73 matches the Rfam family "Eukaryotic small subunit ribosomal RNA", at positions 1759 to 1831 of the family's 1831-position model. Lineage: Eukaryota; Fungi. The record is from RNAcentral.